CGGGGCGUGGCGCAGUCCGGUAGCGCACCUGCUUUGGGAGCAGGGGGCCGAAGGUUCAAAUCCUUUCGCCCCGA
This 74-nucleotide transfer RNA is filed under the name FCB group bacterium. RNAcentral's name for it is "tRNA-Pro". It matches the Rfam family "tRNA". From Rfam's summary of the family: Transfer RNA (tRNA) molecules are approximately 80 nucleotides in length. Their secondary structure includes four short double-helical elements and three loops (D, anti-codon, and T loops). Further hydrogen bonds mediate the characteristic L-shaped molecular structure. tRNAs have two regions of fundamental functional importance: the anti-codon, which is responsible for specific mRNA codon recognition, and the 3' end, to which the tRNAs corresponding amino acid is attached (by aminoacyl-tRNA synthetases). tRNAs cope with the degeneracy of the genetic code in two manners: having more than one tRNA (with a specific anti-codon) for a particular amino acid; and 'wobble' base-pairing, i.e. permitting non-standard base-pairing at the 3rd anti-codon position. Lineage: Bacteria; Pseudomonadati. The record is from RNAcentral.